GGGGUGUAUAUAUAUAUAAAAAAUAAUAAUACAGGCUCAUAAGUAGAGCAUGAAGCCCAACUUUCCUUUACAUGUAUUAUUUUUUUAUAAUAAAUUGAGCCUCAGUCUAUAUCGUGCUGGUGCGAUGAUUUGCACGGGUAUUUUAGAUUUAUACAAAUGUCUUAACGUUAUAAGAGAUCUUAAAAACAUUUCCCAGGUGCAUUAAACCUCGUUAUUGUUCCGCGUUCUCCUCACAGAACGACAAAGAAUCUAAACACACUUCUUAUUUUAAUGUGUAGACCCCAGAACACUUGGUUCUAGCUUUCCAGUGGAACUGUUUUUCUAUACACAACCUCUAAGAACCCUUCAGAGUGCUAGAUCCACCUGUGUGUACACAGAAUGUAGGCUAUUGUUAGAGUCACACAGACUACAUGUGAGUGUAAUGAGAGAAGUGAAAGCGUAAGGUUAUGUGCUUUGCUCUCACUCCUCCUGGGGAUUUCCAGGGUUAGAUAGGGAAAAAACGCACUCCUGCCAGGAUUAGCGCAUAAACACACCACGCAACAGAACUGGUUCGAACCCGGUACACAUCCCACACCUGCACAUUAAAGGGUUAAAGGUGUGUCUGCAUUUUAAAUGUAAGCAUGUAGAUGGUGCAGCUUAUUUUGCAUUUAUUUAAGAAUUCAAGUGGAUUUCAAACCUUCACUGAAGUUUAAAGAUGAAGUUUGUAAUGUGUUUCUAAACCUGUAUACUUUACAAUAUUGCCCCUUUUCCACAAAAGGCAACCCAUGAUGCAUUGUGGCAUACAUAGAUUUAAGGAUUGACUAUGUUUUCAUCGUUAUUCAUUUCUCCUCAGCAGAUAUCACAAGCUACAGCUAAUUGUGUUAGGUAGUGAGUAAUCUUCACUACCAGAUUAUUUUUGUGCUAAAUGAAUUUAGUUAAAUGAAUUAGCCAGGAUAGAACAUCUAGCCUGGCUAAGUUUAGUGUAAAAAAAUAUUUAAUCAAAGGCAAGAAAAGGCCAAAUUUCAUGUGGUGUAAUGAAGGUAAAAGUCAGAAAAGGCAGGAUGGUUUCUGUAAGUUAGAAUAGAUGAUUGAGGAACAGUUUGAAUGUUUGAUUUAAAUUAUGUGGUCCAAUCAUCAUAUUUGGUUUAAUGGUCUUUAUUUUUGUUUAGAGUUGUAUGUACUCUGAAUAGCUGUGAGAGGAGAGAGGAGUCCACAUGGAGUUCCCAAAUACACAAUGUGAUUUUAAAAGCCUUCUAAUAUAAGUACUGUAAUCUCAACAAUAACAGAACGGGGUAAAGGAGUGGACUGAGGUAGCGGUGUGGAACUUGGUAAAGGUGUAGAACAUGGUAAAGGGGUGGACUGAGGGGGCGUGGAACGUAAUGAAGGUGAGGACUGAGGUAAAGGGGUGGACUGAGGGGGUGUGGAACGUAAUGAAGGUGAGGACUGAGGUAAAGGGGUGGACUGAGGGGGCGUGGAACGUAGUGAAGGUGAGAACUGAGGUAAAGGUGUGGCAUGAGGGGCCGUGGAACCUAAUAAAGGUGAGAACUGAGGUAAAGGUGUGGCAUGAGGGGCCGUGGAACUUAAUAAAGGUGAGAACUGAGGUAAAGGGGUGGACUGAGGGGGCGUGGAACGUAGUGAAGGUGAGGACUGAGGUAAAGGUGUGGCAUGAGGGGCUGUGGAACCUAAUAAAGGUGAGAACUGAGGUAAAGGUGUGGCAUGAGGGGCCGUGGAACCUAAUAAAGGUGAGAACCGAGGUAAAGGUGUGGCAUGAGGGGCCGUGGAACCUAAUAAAGGUGAGAAUUGAGGUAAAGGGGUGGACUGAGGGGGCGUGGAACGUAAUGAAGGUGAGGACUGAGGUAAAGGGGUGGACUGAGGGGGCGUGGAACGUAAUGAAGGUGAGGACUGAGGUAAAGGGGUGGACUGAGGGGGCGUGGAACCUAAUAAGGUGAGGACUGAGGUAAAGGGGUGGACUGAGGGGGCGUGGAACGUAAUGAAGGUGAGGACUGAGGUAAAGGGGUGGACUGAGGGGGCGUGGAACGUAAUGAAGGGGUGGACUGAGGGGGCGUGGAACGUAAUGAAGGUGAGGACUGAGGUAAAGGGGUGGACUGAGGGGGCGUGGAAUGUAAUGAAGGUGAGGACUGAGGUAAAGGAAAGGGGUGGACUGAGGGGGCGUGGAACGUAAUGAAGGUGAGAAUGAAGGGACUUGGAACCUAAUAAAGGUGUGGCCUGAGGGGGUGUGGAAUGUUUUAUAAAGGUGUGGACUGAGGUAAAGGUGUAUGUUGAGGCGGUGUGUAAUCGUGUUUUAAUUCUUAUGAGUUAUCCCUCUGGGGAACACAGGAUUCUGUGUAGAAUUCAUACAACAAAGUAAGAAAUCUUGAACUGCGUUUUUUUUUUUUCUUCUUUCCCUUUUUUCUCUCUGUGUGUGUGUGUGUGUGUGUGUGUGUGUGUGUGUGUGUGUGUGCGCACACUGUUAAAGCCGAUAAUCCUUACAUUUCCUCAGCUGUAUUACGAAGUUUUUAAAGGUAUGGUAACAAGGCUGGUGAUUCCUGUCUGAAAUAAAAGUCAUGUGAUCGUGUGGUAAAAGUCAUGGUGGUUUAUAGAGCUGAAUAAAGUGGGCGUUACUCCAUGGUCUAAUGUCGUAAUGAGACGUGUGGAUCGGUGACAGUUUGGACCGUAGUAGAGUAGAGGACUCUGUGUGUAGUGUAUAAUGUAAUCAGAUAUUUAAUCGUAUAUUUCCUUUUUCUUCAGAGAAAUGAAAUGUAGAAGUGCAGGAGCUCUAAUAGAGUGCGGAGUGUUUGCCGUUUUGUGGAGUGUAUUUUCGUGGAGUGUUUGCCGGCUCUCUCAGGUAUGAAGUAAUGCUGCUGGAUAUUGUGGCAUAGUUAAAUCUGAUCUGAUCUCCUGCUCGCUCAUCUGCAAACUGGCCUAACCUGUCCUUAUGAGCAACGUCCUUACCUAGUAUACGAGGUGACUGGCUCAUAUCCUACUGAACAGGUGAGCUCUCUCGGAUCUCCUUUCUGCGAGAUGUUUUCCGUGUCUCUCCUCUUGUACGAACUCUGCGUUAGAAUAUAGAUCGUCUAAAACUGCCUCAGCGUGGUUUCGUAACAUGAAUGAGCAAUGUCCGCUCACACACACGGCAUUGUCCAGGGCCGCAACCUAAUAACGACUGGAGAGAGGUCUGGCCUGAGCUUCUCUCUGUGAGGCAGAAUUGCUUUUUUAGGCAUUUGGAGGGACAAACCCAUGUGUAUUUUGGGGAAUACUUUAUUAUGGGUGUCGGAUAAAAGCAGGGGAGUUGAGGGGCGGGGAACUGCCAGAGGAAUUCCCUUAAUCCGAGUGUUCAGUGGUCUAAAACUGAGCAACUUGCACACGUCCUCUUUGUGAAUGAUGUCAUAGAGUGUUACAGCUUCACUUCCUGUUGAGACGAAGAGUGAAUACGAUGUGUGUUCAGUGUUGUGUACGAGACGUGCGGCUGCAGAAGCGUAUAAGCGGAAGUGAUUGGUCCCGCUCAGAGCUUUUGUUAAUUAAAACGAUUUGAUCUUUGCGUGUUGCGUCGCUUCAUAAACCGGUCCAACGACCCGGGAAGGUUCAGAAUGACGCUUCGGAUGCUUUUCUCAUUUUAGUGCAUCACUUCAUAGCUUUAGACGUGCAUCGGUGUGACUAUGACGGAUCGGGUGUGCGUUUAAUAUCAGGUAACUUGUUUCUAGCGUGGUGUUUUGAUUGAGAUGUGUUGUGGAGCUGAAACGGUGGACGGUUUUGUUUCUGCACUGGAAGGAAAAUAGCUCCGAACCAAAAUUACAGUGAUUAGAGAAAUCACGCUUAAAUGCGCGCGUGUGUGUGUGUGUGUGUGUGUGUGUGGCAGCAGUGUGUUGUACACUGAAGUGGUUUUGGUGUUGCAGGCUGCUAUUAGAGCAGAGGAUUUUAAAAGAUCUGUUUUGAAGCUUGGCGACGUAGCAGUGCGUCUCUUCUGUCGUAUGAUUGUGGCUCUAACCCUAAGCAACCGCUGAGCUCUCAUUUUCUACGUACUUUCAUGGCCUGAAGCAGCGAUUCCAGACACAAUUUAACUGGGAUGUUCUCCGUUCUAUGCAAAUUUGAUAAGGCUCUGUAAAGCAACACAUCCAGGUGUGACGUUUCUUCAGCUCCAUGCUCACAAUUUUAGUUCCUGCAGAAAUGGGAUAAAAUUGUAUAACCUCCAUGAUUAAAUUUCUUCAUGUUAUAUACACGCUCUCAUUAAAUGUGUACCGAACCGUUGGGAAGGAAAAGAAAGCUCGGAAGGACGUCGCGGAGAUCUUUGGUGCCUCUGGUGAGGGUAUGUAACUAGUACAGUUAGCUCAAUUUGCCAAUCUAAUCCGAGACCGUGCUAGCUCCCUCUGCCGAGAUAACAGCUCUCGGUCUUCUCCUGUGAUGCCUUGAGGUUGGAGAAUACAUGGCGAGGGGUCUGUGUUGUGUUUGCAAUUUUAAACAUUUGAAACUAUCUCAAUCACGUGCUUGUUUAGUUUUAUUUUAAUGAAAGGAGAGUAAAAAUAAAUCUUUUUUUUAUGCAUACUUCAGACAGGAAAGCCACUUUUCCGUGCACGUUUCUGAUUUUGUGAAGCUUCGUGUCCACGUUGAGGAGAACCGGUUUGCUUCGCGCCGCCCCUCGUCCUGCACUCGUACACCACAUGAAGGACGUUCUGUAGUACACACGUCAGGAUUGUUUGUUUGUUAUGUGAUACGCGUGUGUAUGAGUGUCGUGCGGUUAGUGAAUUUUGCGUGCGUGUGCUGAUCGUACUUGGUCAUUAGAUGGACAAACAUCACGUGAGAGGAGCUUCACGUGUACGGCUGUAGCGUUGUCGGCCGCUCCGUUUGAAGCCGGAGCCGCCGGCGGUGGUUUCCCGUCUUCCCUGCAG
Molecule: long non-coding RNA, 4862 nt
Organism: Ictalurus punctatus (channel catfish)
Lineage: Eukaryota; Metazoa; Chordata; Actinopteri; Siluriformes; Ictaluridae
Source: Ensembl